GACGGGACCCCGCACAAGCGGUGGAUCAUGUUGUUUAAUUCGAUGAUACGCGAAGAACCUUACCAGGUCUUGACAUCCCCCGCGAUGCUUUAGAGAUAAAGCGGAGGUAUUCGGGGAGACAGGUGGUGCAUGGUUGUCGUCAGCUCGUGUCGUGAGAUGUUGGGUUAAGUCCCGUAACGAGCGCAACCCUUGUCCUUAGUUACCAGCACGUUAUGGUGGGCACUCUAAGGAGACUGCCGGUGACAAACCGGAGGAAGGUGGGGAUGACGUCAAGUCAUCAUGGCCCUUACGGCCUGGGCUACACACGUGCUACAAUGGUCGGUACAAAGGGUUGCCAAGCCGCGAGGUGGAGCUAAUCCCAUAAAACCGAUCGUAGUCCGGAUCGCAGUCUGCAACUCGACUGCGUGAAGUCGGAAUCGCUAGUAAUCGUGAAUCAGAAUGUCACGGUGAAUACGUUCCCGGGCCUU
This 467-nucleotide ribosomal RNA is filed under the name uncultured Pseudomonas sp. RNAcentral describes it as "bacterial SSU rRNA". It matches the Rfam family "Bacterial small subunit ribosomal RNA", at positions 912 to 1382 of the family's 1533-position model. The record is from RNAcentral. Lineage: Bacteria; Pseudomonadati; Pseudomonadota; Gammaproteobacteria; Pseudomonadales; Pseudomonadaceae.